UUAAUGCAUUUAUAUAAGAAUAUGAUUUAUGUAUAUAAACUGUAAAGUUAGUUUCUUGAAUUUUUAUUUCAAGAUUUUUAAUUUGAGUUGAUAGUCAGUUUUGAAUAAUUUUUACUAAAAUACUGUUCAAAAACAAAAUUAUUAUUGCAAUAAUUGUGGCUAACCAUUUAUUUUGUAAAACGUUGCAAAAGGAUCUAUGUGGCAGAACCCAACUAGUUCAGGAUUGAAGUUUCGUUGUUAUUGUUGUUGAGAGAAUUUACAUAUUGUAUAUUCAAAUAAAAUUUGUUAAAUAAUAUGAUAGCACUGGCUACAACUGUUACACUUUGGUUAGAACACUAUGUAAUAGUCACAUCGAUAUGAUGACUGUGGCAAUGAUUUAAAACCUUGGGCUGGCAAUUCAGUUCUGCAGUUGGUAACUAAGUUUCACUUCAUAGUAAUUUUGAUAGUUUGUGUUUUGCCAGUUGUCUAGUGCAAGAAAGUUUAGAUUUAUUGAAUUCAUUGGGAAUAUGAUGAAUAUGCAAAGAACCGAGUAAACAAAAAGUAGGCUAUUUUAUGUGUAUGAACUUUAGUUUUUCUUUCUGUGUGUGUGCAUU
RNAcentral lists this unclassified non-coding RNA (593 nucleotides) under Hevea brasiliensis (rubber tree). Lineage: Eukaryota; Viridiplantae; Streptophyta; Magnoliopsida; Malpighiales; Euphorbiaceae. The record is from RNAcentral.